Molecule: ribosomal RNA, 471 nt
Filed under: uncultured bacterium
Lineage: Bacteria
Description: bacterial SSU rRNA
Rfam family: Bacterial small subunit ribosomal RNA
Source: RNAcentral
GAUGAACGCUGGCGGCGUGCCUAACACAUGCAAGUCGAACGGACUUAAGAUGAAACCUAGUGAUUUUUAAGUUAGUGGCGGACGGGUGAGUAACGCGUGGGCAACCUGCCUCAUACAGGGGGAUAACACUUAGAAAUAGGUGCUAAUACCGCAUAAGCGCACAGCUUCGCAUGAAGCAGUGUGAAAAACUCCGGUGGUAUGAGAUGGACCCGCGUCUGAUUAGCUAGUUGGUGGGUAACGGCCUACCAAGGCGACGAUCAGUAGCCGGCCUGAGAGGGUGAACGGCCACAUUGGGACUGAGACACGGCCCAAACUCCUACGGGAGGCAGCAGUGGGGAAUAUUGCACAAUGGGGGGAAACCCUGAUGCAGCAACGCCGCGUGAGUGAAGAAGUAUUUCGGUAUGUAAAGCUCUAUCAGCAGGGAAGAAGGAAGACGGUACCUGACUAAGAAGCACCGGCUAAAUACCGUAG